CAAAGUAUAGCUUAAUUAAAAGCGCCCGGCCUACACCCGGAAGAUCUCAAAUAAACUGAUUGCUUUGA
This 68-nucleotide transfer RNA is filed under the name Proechimys guyannensis (Guyenne spiny-rat). RNAcentral describes it as "tRNA-Val". The record is from RNAcentral. Lineage: Eukaryota; Metazoa; Chordata; Mammalia; Rodentia; Echimyidae.